GAUGAAGAACGUAGCGAAAUGCGAUAAGUAAUGUGAAUUGCAGAAUUCAGUGAAUCAUCGAAUCUUUGAACGCACAUUGCGCCCGCCAGUAUUCUGGCGGGCAUGCUUGUUCGAGCGUCAUUACAACCCUCAGGCCCCCGGGCCUGGCGUUGGGGAUCGGCGGAAGCCCCCUGCGGGCACAACGCCGUCCCCCAAAUACAGUGGCGGUCCCGCUGCAGCUUCCAUUGCGUAGUAGCUAACACCUCGCAACUGGAGAGCGGCGCGGCCACGCCGUAAAACACCCAACUUCUGAAUGUUGACCUCGAAUCAGGUAGGAAUACCCGCUGAACUUAAGCAUAUCAAUAAGCGGAGGA
This 353-nucleotide unclassified non-coding RNA is filed under the name soil metagenome. RNAcentral describes it as "partial contains 5.8S ribosomal RNA, internal transcribed spacer 2, and large subunit ribosomal RNA". The stretch from base 1 to 120 matches the Rfam family "5.8S ribosomal RNA", at positions 35 to 154 of the family's 154-position model. The record is from RNAcentral.